AAGAGACAGCAGCAGCCGCGGGAAUACAGAGGGUGCGAGCGUUAAUCGGAUUUACUGGGCGUAAAGCGUGCGUAGGCGGCUUCUUAAGUCGGAUGUGAAAUCCCUGAGCUUAACUUAGGAAUUGCAUUCGAUACUGGGAAGCUAGAGUAUGGGAGAGGAUGGUAGAAUUCCAGGUGUAGCGGUGAAAUGCGUAGAGAUCUGGAGGAAUACCGAUGGCGAAGGCAGCCAUCUGGCCUAAUACUGACGCUGAGGUACGAAAGCAUGGGGAGCAAACAGGAUUAGAUACCCCGGUAGUCCCUGUCUCUUAUAA
This 310-nucleotide ribosomal RNA is filed under the name uncultured bacterium. RNAcentral describes it as "partial 16S ribosomal RNA". It matches the Rfam family "Bacterial small subunit ribosomal RNA", at positions 503 to 809 of the family's 1533-position model. The record is from RNAcentral.